CCUUACCCGGGCUUGAAAUGCAUCUGACCGGCCUUGAAAGAGGUUUUCCCUUUCGGGCAGAUGUGUAGGUGCUGCAUGGUUGUCGUCAGCUCGUGCCGUGAGGUGUCGGCUUAAGUGCCAGUAACGAGCGCAACCCUCAUCCAUUAGUUACCAUCAGGUAAGGCUGGGGACUCUAAGUGAGACUGCCAUCGUAAGAUGUGAGGAAGGUGGGGAUGACGUCAAAUCAGCACGGCCCUUACGUCCGGGGCGACACACGUGUUACAAUGGGUGGUACAAAGGGCAGCUACCUGGCGACAGGAUGCUAAUCUCCAAAACCACUCUCAGUUCGGAUCGGAGUCUGCAACUCGACUCCGUGAAGCUGGAUUCGCUAGUAAUCGCGCAUCAGCCACGGCGCGGUGAAUACGUUCCCGGGCCUU
RNAcentral lists this ribosomal RNA (416 nucleotides) under uncultured Proteiniphilum sp. RNAcentral's name for it is "bacterial SSU rRNA". It matches the Rfam family "Bacterial small subunit ribosomal RNA", at positions 969 to 1382 of the family's 1533-position model. Lineage: Bacteria; Pseudomonadati; Bacteroidota; Bacteroidia; Bacteroidales; Dysgonomonadaceae. The record is from RNAcentral.